GUGGGUAACCUGCCUUAUAGUGGGGGAUAGCCUUUCGAAAGGAAGAUUAAUACCGCAUAAGAUUGUAGUAUCGCAUGAUAUGGCAAUUAAAGGAGCAAUUCGCUAUAAGAUGGACCCGCGUCGCAUUAGCUAGUUGGGUGAGGUAAUGGCUCACCAAGGCGACGAUGCGUAGCCGACCUGAGAGGGUGAUCGGCCACAUUGGGACUGAGACACGGCCAGACUCCUACGGGAGGCAGCAUG
This 240-nucleotide ribosomal RNA is filed under the name uncultured bacterium. RNAcentral's name for it is "partial 16S ribosomal RNA". It matches the Rfam family "Bacterial small subunit ribosomal RNA", at positions 117 to 353 of the family's 1533-position model. The record is from RNAcentral.